GAUGAACGCUGGCGGCGUGCCUAAUACAUGCAAGUCGAGCGAACAGACGAGGAUCUUGCUCCUUUGACGUUAGCGGCGGACGGGUGAGUAACACGUAGGUAACCUACCUAUAAGACUGGGAUAACUUCGGGAAACCGGAGCUAAUACCGGAUAAUAUUUCGAACCGCAUGGUUCGAUAGUGAAAGAGGGCUUUGCUAUCACUUAUCGAUUGACCUGCCCCUUAUUAGCUAGUUGGUAAGGUAAAGGCUUACCAAGGCAACGAUACGUAGCCGACCUGAGGGGGUGAUCGGCCACACUGGAACUGAGACGCGGUCCAGACUCCUACGGGAGGCAGCAGUAGGGAAUCUUCCGCAAUGGGCGAAAGCCUGACGGAGCAACGCCGCGUGAGUGAUGAAGGUCUUCGGAUCGUAAAACGCUGUUAUGAGGGAAGAACAAACGUGUAAGUAACUGUGCACGUCUUGACGGUACCUAAUCAGAAAGCCACGGCUAACUACGUG
This 497-nucleotide ribosomal RNA is filed under the name uncultured bacterium. RNAcentral describes it as "partial 16S ribosomal RNA". It matches the Rfam family "Bacterial small subunit ribosomal RNA", at positions 28 to 507 of the family's 1533-position model. The record is from RNAcentral.